GUCAGGAUGGCCGAGCGGUCUAAGGCGCUGCGUUCAGGUCGCAGUCCACUUCUGUUGGGCGUGGGUUCGAAUCCCACUUCUGACA
Molecule: transfer RNA, 85 nt
Filed under: Ooceraea biroi (clonal raider ant)
Lineage: Eukaryota; Metazoa; Arthropoda; Insecta; Hymenoptera; Formicidae
Rfam family: tRNA
About the family: Transfer RNA (tRNA) molecules are approximately 80 nucleotides in length.
Source: Rfam by way of RNAcentral